Small nuclear RNA from Maniola jurtina (meadow brown), 149 nucleotides. RefSeq annotates it as U12 minor spliceosomal RNA. NCBI's taxonomy places the organism in Eukaryota, Metazoa, Arthropoda, Insecta, Lepidoptera, Nymphalidae. The transcript has a single exon. The record is from RefSeq and is a predicted model, not a curated record.
GUGCCUCAAUCUAUUGAGUAAGGAAAUUAUUGGGCCUUGGUAACGCUUGGCUAUGUCCGCUAAGGGCGAAUGUAUUUUUGAAAGGUACAGGUCGUCCCCUUGAGUCGCGCGCCUACUUUGCACGCGAUUCGGGUGAAGCGAUCUGCCUU